Molecule: ribosomal RNA, 546 nt
Filed under: uncultured bacterium
Lineage: Bacteria
Description: partial 16S ribosomal RNA
Rfam family: Bacterial small subunit ribosomal RNA
Source: RNAcentral
UGGGGAAUAUUGGACAAUGGGCGCAAGCCUGAUCCAGCCAUACCGCGUGGGUGAAGAAGGCCUUCGGGUUGUAAAGCCCUUUUGUUGGGAAAGAAAUCCAGCUGGUUAAUACCCGGUUGGGAUGACGGUACCCAAAGAAUAAGCACCGGCUAACUUCGUGCCAGCAGCCGCGGUAAUACGAAGGGUGCAAGCGUUACUCGGAAUUACUGGGCGUAAAGCGUGCGUAGGUGGUCGUUUAAGUCUGUUGUGAAAGCCCUGGGCUCAACCUGGGAACUGCAGUGGAAACUGGACGACUAGAGUGUGGUAGAGGGUAGCGGAAUUCCUGGUGUAGCAGUGAAAUGCGUAGAGAUCAGGAGGAACAUCCAUGGCGAAGGCAGCUACCUGGACCAACACUGACACUGAGGCACGAAAGCGUGGGGAGCAAACAGGAUUAGAUACCCUGGUAGUCCACGCCCUAAACGAUGCGAACUGGAUGUUGGGUGCAAUUUUGGCACGCAGUAUCGAAGCUAACGCGUUAAGUUCGCCGCCUGGGGAGUACGGUCGCAA